This 211-nucleotide ribosomal RNA is filed under the name Rhizophagus intraradices. Lineage: Eukaryota; Fungi; Glomeromycota; Glomeromycetes; Glomerales; Glomeraceae. The record is from RNAcentral.
CAGUCGUACCGGCGGAUAAUCAGCCUUUCGGGUGCGAUUCUGUGGGGCGUGAGGAGUUUAACCGCCUUCAUGUUUUGCAUAUUCGUGCACAUUUGGUGUACUUGUCCGUGUGGUGGGUUAACAUCAAUUUCGGUCGUCAUAAAAUGACUGGAGGAAUGUAGCUUCGAUCUCGUAUUGGAGUGUUAUAGCUUCGGUAGAUGUGAUGAUCAAG